CAAUUUGAAUGAUUUUGGUAAACAUCCGACAAUAAAAUUUGCCUCUUAAAUACCCAUAGAGCACAACGGCAACGUUGCACCAAUUUAUUGGUCAAAAAAGUGGGGCCCGCAUUAAAUUCCAGCCGGUUCAUAUCUCCCACUUUUUUUAUUUCGCAUUCGCCUGACAGAGACGGAACGUGUUCUCGGAACCGCUGAAAAUAUUCGGGUUAUUGAACGGUCGAAAUAUCCGCAGCCUUCCAAGGACGUCGCCGUCGUCUAAAGAAAUUGCGGAGAUCCGAUUUCCCCAGCCAGACCCUGGGACCGUGAAAGCCCCCCCCGGCCAGACGACCGACUGCAUUAAAGUUGUUUUUUAUUUUCUUGAAAAAUCGACUGUUGCUUUGGUUCAGCUGCGGCUGCUCUAAGUGUGUGUCUGUGUGUGUGUGAUUCAUUCUGUUUACAGGAGACAAAAGAGCGAAAAUCUGCAGGAGAGACCGUAGGAAUUUAGGUCGUUUUUCGAAUUGUUGCCUGGUGUAUCAUGGCGAGCGAAUCUAACGGGAAAAUCAUUCGUGGGAACGGCGGCGAUAAUAAUGGGAAAAAAUCAGUUACGAACUUGUUUCCGAAACAGGGAGAAUGUUCCUAUGUUUCCUGUUAUUGUGAAGAAAAUGUAUAUAAACUAGCAGAAGAUGUGGCUAAAAAAUACCCAAAUGAACUCAGCAAGUGUUUUGUAGUGAUCAUAUCCAACCAAAGCAGAACAGUUCCGUUGUGGAAACAAAGAGCUGGUAAAGAUGAGGAUAAACUAAUCAUUUGGGACUACCAUGGGAUUUUUUUGUACCACCCAGAACCCGACAAGUGCUUGGUUUACGACUUGGAUUCCGAAUUACCGUUUCCUACAUACGUACACAAAUAUGUCACUGAAACUUUUAGGACCGAUCAUAUAUUGAAACCUGACUAUUUCAGGUAUUUUCGAGUGGUUCCGGCAAACGAGUUCCUUAAAGAAUUCGCUUCCGAUAGACGUCAUAUGAAACGACCCGAUGGGACAUGGAUUAAACCACCACCAACAUAUCCGGCUAUUAGCAGUGCAAGUAAGAAUUAUUAUUGUUUUUUAUUGUACGUAUUUUUAAAAGUUUCUUUUUACAUAGACUCCGAACAUAAUUUAGAAGACUAUAUCCAAAUGGACCACGAUAAAGGACCCGGGCAAGUCCUUAAUUUAACGCAAUUCGUUCAGAGAUUCUACAAACCAGCCACGUAAUUUCAAUAAAAUGAGAAAAAUCUUGUUGAAUUCGCCAUAAAAUUGCGUUAGUGAUGGUACCUGGCUAGUGGAAAUACAUUCACCGAUAUGGCCUACACCUACCAACUAGGUAUAAAGACAAUAAGCAGAAUAGUGACUCAAGAAUGUGACCAAAUGUGGAUUAUUUUAAGUGGUGAAUACUUAGCAACUCCCACUAUUGAGCGGUGGUUAUUAAUAGCAGAAGGAUUUAAACAAAAGGCUAAUUUCCCAAACUGCAUCGGUUCUGUCGAUGGAAAGCCUAUUCGAAUUGAAAAUUUCCCUAAAUCUGCACAAUGCAUAAUGAACUUUAUUUAUAAAGGAUAUUUUUCAAUUGUACUUCUAGCAGUAGUUGAUUCCGAUUACAGAUUCGUGUAUGUUGAUAUCGGUUCCUAUGGUAAAGACUGUGACUCCGCAAUUUUUCAGCGCACACAUUUUUAUCAACUACUCACUGUAGGCAGCUUGAAUAUACCUCCACCUGUUUUACUGCACCCGUCUCAGAAUUGAAGAAUGCCACAUGUUUCAGUAGGUGAUGAAGCUUUUUAGCUCACCGAACAUUUAUUAUGUCCUUUUGGCGGUAACCAUCUACACGUAAAAAAACGGAUAUAUAACUAUCGACAUUGUCGUGCACGAAGAUACGUGGAAUGUGCAUUCGGCAUGAUGGCCAACAAAUGGCGAAUAUUUCAUCGUUCUUUAAAUGUGGGAAAAAAACUUUGCAAAUCCAUAGUUAAGGCAUGCAUCGUGUUACAUAAUAUUGUUCGUGAAUUACCUAGGGCAGGAAAUAUACAGCACGGUGGGCGUAUCGCAAAUGACAUAAGAAAUACCUUUUCUGAAUAUUUUGUUAGCCCAGAAAGCUCUUUGCCUUGGCAGAUGAAUAAGAUCUAAACUUGUAGCAUAAAUAAUAAAACUAACUUGUACUUACUAA
RNAcentral lists this unclassified non-coding RNA (2168 nucleotides) under Anthonomus grandis grandis. RNAcentral's name for it is "protein N-terminal glutamine amidohydrolase". Lineage: Eukaryota; Metazoa; Arthropoda; Insecta; Coleoptera; Curculionidae. The record is from RNAcentral.